UUAAUUUUCACAUUAUGAACAGUAUAUUUUUAUAUCUAAAAGAGAAACUGAUUAGUUCUCAUAUGGGUUACUCAGAUGUCUUUGGUUACCACUUUUUAAUUACAGAGACGAGAUAACUUUUGUAGAAGCUGCUGUUACCUUCAGAGUAGAUCAGAACCCCUUUUGCAAAGGCCAAGAAACCUCCCAAACCUGUACUAUAAAGGGCUGAUUUGAUUUUUAUGGAAUUCAUUGUUUCUGAGUAGCAGCACAGAGGGAUAGUUCUCAAACCUUUUCUCGCCUCAGUACAUAGACUCUCAGUGACUCCCAUCUGGUGAGCACACAGUCUGGAAGCACUUUCCUGGUAAUUAAGGUGCCGUCCCUCUGUCACCCACUGUGAACAUCAUGGACCCAAGCAGCAUUUGCUACGCUGUGGGGAGAGGGGUAUUUGAAGGUCUUCCAGGCAAAGUGGAUUUUGUGAUCAAGUAAUUCGAGCCAACUCUG
RNAcentral lists this long non-coding RNA (480 nucleotides) under Bos taurus (domestic cattle). RNAcentral's name for it is "long non-coding RNA NONBTAT026941". The record is from RNAcentral. Lineage: Eukaryota; Metazoa; Chordata; Mammalia; Artiodactyla; Bovidae.